Molecule: ribosomal RNA, 467 nt
Filed under: uncultured bacterium
Lineage: Bacteria
Description: bacterial SSU rRNA
Rfam family: Bacterial small subunit ribosomal RNA
Source: RNAcentral
ACUCCUACGGGAGGCAGCAGUGAGGAAUAUUGGUCAAUGGGCGCAAGCCUGAACCAGCCAUGCCGCGUGCAGGAUGACGGUCCUAUGGAUUGUAAACUGCUUUUGUACGGGAAGAAACACUCCUUCGUGAAGGAGCUUGACGGUACCGUAAGAAUAAGGAUCGGCUAACUCCGUGCCAGCAGCCGCGGUAAUACGGAGGAUCCAAGCGUUAUCCGGAAUCAUUGGGUUUAAAGGGUCCGUAGGCGGUUUUAUAAGUCAGUGGUGAAAUCCGGCAGCUCAACUGUCGAACUGCCAUUGAUACUGUAGAACUUGAAUUAUUGUGAAGUAACUAGAAUAUGUAGUGUAGCGGUGAAAUGCUUAGAGAUUACAUGGAAUACCAAUUGCGAAGGCAGGUUACUAACAAUAUAUUGACGCUGAUGGACGAAAGCGUGGGUAGCGAACAGGAUUAGAUACCCUGGUAGCGACUG